Molecule: non-coding RNA, 435 nt
Organism: Microtus oregoni (creeping vole)
Lineage: Eukaryota; Metazoa; Chordata; Mammalia; Rodentia; Cricetidae
Source: the annotation of a RefSeq genome assembly
AGGCCACUCACCAUGGACUUAGGGCUUAUACUGGUUUUCUCUGUCCUUAUUUUAAAAGGUGUCCAGUGUGAAGUGCAGUUGCUGGAGUCUGGGGGAGGCUUAGUGCAACCCGAAAAGUCCCUGAAACUCUCAUGUGCAGCUUCUGGAUUCACCUUUGAUGACUAUGCAAUGAGCUGGGUCCGGCAGGCUCCAGGGAAGGGGCUGGAGUGGGUCGCAUUGAUUAGUUAUGAUGGUGGUACCAUCAGGUAUACUGAUGCUGUGAAGGGCCGGUUCACAAUCUCCAGAGACAAUGCCAAGAACACUCUGUACCUGGAAAUGAGCCAUCUGAGGUCAGAGGACACAGCCAUGUAUUACUGUGCAAGAGACACACUGAGGAUCUGGCAGGGACCCACAACCAUCUCUGCUGGGCUGGCAGUUGCUCUGCAAACAUUUUAA